UCGUGCCCGGACCCUGCCCCCGAGACGCUCAGCUCCAGGAGGGGAGGCGACUCAGACACCAGGCACACACAGUGACCGCGAGAUGAGAAAGCACCGAGGAGGAAGGACUGAAGGAAGAGGCCCUGCUCUCGGAGGCUGGAAGCUUCAGGAGAACCAGGACCAAGUGAGCCUUGAUCAGGCUCUGUCUUCAGCACCUGGAACAGGGCCUGGCACCCAUUGAGGAGGUGAUCAACAUGUUUGAGAGAGAACCGGGCACAGCCUGGAAGGAAGCUUCCUGCACGGUAUUCACCCUCCUUCCCAGCAGCAGUGCCUCUCCACAGAGCUCAGUGAUGGCAGAUGUCUGUGAAACUCCCAAAACACUAGAAGGCACUGGGGACUGGAUGGGGCUUCACUCACAUUGCAAGAGCACACCAUGAGAGAGGAGGAGAAAGAAGAGACAGGUGGAAUCUCCUCUGCAGCUUCCUCCUUCAGGUCCUACUUUCAUUGAAGGGCCAGAAACAAAGGGCAGAGUAAUACAGGCCCUGUUUCUACCUGCAAACCACAACCCCGCGCCCAACACCCCCCCUUUUCUCCCAACUUUUUAAGGUUUUAGGAUGCUGACCUAUGUGAAAAGCAGCUAAUUUAGUGUAAUGCAGUUUAAGGACAGUGGGUGAAGAGGUACCUGCCCCCACUGAGGAGUGUCCCCACCCAUUUCAUGAUCAGAGGUGGUCACUGUCUAGUUCUUACUUAGAACACAGGAGUGAAGAGUGCUUGCCAAAAAAAAAGUUCAGUUUUUGACACACUUGGAAUCAACCAGAAUCAGAUGUCCCAGAGACAGGAGAAUGGCCUGAGCUGGAGGUUCAGGAGUUAUCAGCAUAUGGAUGGAAGUGAAUGAGGUCAUCUGAAGAGAGUAUGCACAGUUAAGAUAGGGCCUCUGACAGAACCCGGAGGACACCAGCAUUUCAGGUUGUCUUAGCCCAGUCACCCAAAGACCACCAGGGACAAAUCCAUAGUCCAGCAAAGUCAGGUUUAUUGACCUAUUGCUAUGAGGAAAACAACAUGCCAGAAGAACCAUAGGGUGUCCCACCAAAUGCAAAGAAAAAAAGAGAGUUAUUACCAGAUUUGAGCAAGACAUGGAAUUAGGUGAAAUUUAAAUGAAGCAAUAUUCUGACAGCUGAGAGCAAAGCAGCAGCUGAGAGUAAAGGGGCUGAUACCAGGUCUGGAGUGCUAAGUGGACCCAGGGUCAUGUUUUCUUGGAAACAAUAAAGUUAAGACAGAUGUGGAAUAUUAUGUUCAGAAAUACCUAUCUAAAUCUCUUCACCUGGGUUGUAAAUCCUGUCUGCUUAGUGAAUUAGUUCCUCCAGGCAAGAGUUUCAUCUUACAUAAUUUCAAACAACAAAGUUUCUGAUAGUCUAUGAUUUUAGAAAACAAAGUUGCUCGGUGUCUAAGAAGGGAGUGGGUUGUUAAGAUAUUUUAUAGCUGCAGUAUGUCCUUGGUAAAAACAAUAUCUCCUGUUAAUUUUGCAGCUGGCUUUAUCUGUGUCUAUUAUUCCAGCCUGAUGAACAGUAGGGCAGAUUUUUACAGACCCAACUAAUUUUUAGGUUUUCUAGGGUCAAACAAUGGAGGAGGAAUCUGCAAAGACUAAGAGUAGUGAGUAGGUAGGAGUCAGUCAGUUUCAGGAAGCAGGAGGUGAUUGUUGUUGAACCCUAAGAGGUCUAGUUUACUGUGCUGCUGUACAAUAGGGUAACCAUUAGCUGCACCUAAUUAUUUAAAUGUAUUAAGUGAUUUUGAAAUAAAUUCAAUAAAAUAAAAAGUUUUAUUCCUCCAGGGCCCUUAGCCACAUGUCAAAUGUUACGACAGUGCAAAUGCAGAACAUUUCCAUCAUAACAGAAAGUUCUAUUGAACCGCAUGGUAAGAGAACUGAGAGUGCCAGGCGACUGUGACCCCCGUGAGCACAGUCUCCAAGGAGUAAUGGGAGUGGAAGCCAUGUAGGAGGUGCAGAAAGGUAGUGAGUAGUCUUUCCAAAACUAAACCAUAACAACGUCCUUCUCCUAUGACAGCUACCGUGUAACUCCUGCGUGCCUGAAGCCACAAAUGUGCCUCAGGCUCAGAUCCCUUGGCUCCUCAGCUUCCCCGCGUUUACCUGCCAGCACAGACCCACAAGCUCCAUCCCCCAACACUCCCCGGAUCCUUGUUCUGCGGCUCAGGCUCUUGGGCUUCUGGGACGUGUAGUGUGGACGGCGUCGCAACUCUUUCAAUAUUCUAGCCGCGACCUAAAAGUCCCAUAAGGCAGUGCGCGGGGUGUCUCCGUUGAGGAGCCCUGGAAUCGUCCCCGGACGUUUAGGGAGCAUGCCUGAGGCGCUGGGGUACCGGGGAGGAUGGCGACCGCGCUGUGCCUCCUCCUGCCACUCCUGAGUUCUCCGCCCCUCCGGAGACCCCUCAACUGCUGCGAGGCCGACGGAGGCACCAGGGAGUGUGGGGACAGCGUGGCCACACUCACUAGGGGACUUGGGGGUAGCGUCUGACCGCGAGCAGCCGGAGGGCCUUUGGGCGGCCCCCGGAGGGAAACUCACGCCCAAAUACCGGGCCUCGCGCUUCUGUAAACUCCAAAGAGCGCCUGCGCACACGGAGAGUCUCGGGAUCAACUUUUGGGGACGCUUUCAGAGGAGAUAACAGUGCUGAGUAGAAAUGGAACGGAACAGUCGUCAUUCUGUUGUCCUUUCUCUUAUGGUUUGCAAAGCACAGCCCCCUUCUUUGACUCUCGUAAUUUGAUCCUCAAAUUAAGCAGUCCUAUUACAAAUGAGGCGACGGGUCAGACAAAGACAAAGGCAUACAGCCUGAGUCUUACUUAGCAUCACAGAGUAUGAAGGACCAGCGCAGGAGAAGAGUUCAGGACUCUUGCCCAGGCUCUGCCUCUGACUUGCUGUGAGACCUUGGGUAUUCUGUUCCCUUAGGAACCUAAGCCUACGCAUUUGUAAAUGCAAAUAGGUUUUGGGGAGGAUCGAAUGGUAUCCAGAAUUGAAACUAAAUUCCCAGUCUAUGAAGGCAAAAUUAUUAUAGUCAGGUGAUUGCAGAUUGAAGAGCCCAUUUCCCCAUUUUACAAAUUGCAAAACUGAAGGCCCCAGAGGGGCAGGAGCUUGCCUCAGGUCUCAACAGUCUUGUUAACGAGGGCUAAAGUCCAGCUCUGCCUUUGGGCCUAGAGCCCUUCCCCACACCCCAAGUAUCAGUGUCUUUGUUGGAUACAGUUGAAUACAGUUAGAGAUUGAUUUCUCUGCGGGCCUGGGGAAGUCCCUGUUCUCAAGCCUUCUCCUACCCUACCUGGGUCUAAUCGGAGAGGGCCCUGCUCUGCUUGUCAUCUGGAGAAUGCUGGAGAAAGAACACAGUGUUGCUGGAAGUAUACAGACACUGCUUCUCCGGACAGCAGCCCAGGUAAGGGAAGGAGCCGAGGUGUGACAGAUGAGGGGCAGUACUAAGGGGACAGACCCUGAAUGGAAGUGGGAAGAUGUUGGACUAUUUCUAGCCUGGGAGGAAUUGGGCACUCAGGUGACUCUGGCUGGACCCAGUGGCAGCUGGAGGUGAUAUCUGGGCUAGCUGAGUGAUGAGGAGAGGAAAUGAUACACACUGAGCUGAGACUGUAGGAGCCACUCCCCUAGCCAGGUGGCACCAUGAGCACACCAUACCACCUCCAGGACCAGGGAGCUGCCCACCAGGGAAGUGAAAUAUCUUUGUUCCCUGUGGUAGUGGAGCUGGGGUGUACCCAGCUAUUUCUCUAUGGGGUGCUCUUAGGUUCUGGAGAAUGGGAGGGAAAGGGCUGGGAGCCCCCAAGGUCUGGGUACAGAUGGAGUCUUCUCAGGCAAAUCAUAAAAGGCGAGUGUUUGUAGAAGUAGAAAGCUAAGAUCCUCCACACUUCCAGGUAACUACUUUUCUGGGCCUUAUCAUCUCUGUUUUCAGCAGGGGAAACAGGCUAAAAGAGGAAAGGACUCUCUUAAGGACACACAAGGAGUUAGGGUAGAACUGAACUGGAAUAGGGAUCUUUCCAUUACAUGGCAGUGAUCAAACAUCUUCAUCAAACAUUUAUUGAGUGUCUAAUGUAUACUCUAAAAAGAGCUACCUUGGGGUGGCAAACAGAAGCCAGGAUUGCAGUCAGAUCUGACUUUUAACCUGCUCUCCUAGUGACUUACACUGUGACCCCUAGCAAAUCACCAUCCCUCUCAGUGCCUCAAAUUGUAAAGUGGGGGUGGUAAGCUUUAUCGAGAGCUGUCUCAAGGUAUAACUAUGAAUUAAAUAAGUGCACAGAACAGCACCAGGCACGUGGUAUGUGCACAGUAAACAUUAGCCACUGCUGUUACUUGUGAACGCAAGCUGAGGCCAGCUGCAGUCAGGGUUUCACUAGAGACAGGCAGAGGCAGGUCUGCUCAACUCCUGGAUACCUCCACUCAGUGCCAUGGGAGCCUGCACUUCAAGUUGAGGGGGGGACUCAUAUACUUAUUCUGUCCUCUGGCACUAAGAACCUAGCAGAGAACAGGUGCUUCAAGUGUUUACACCUCCACAUUGCAACACGAUCCCUUUCCCCACAACCUGAGGUCCAGAGUUAAGGUGAUUUUUGCUUAAAGUUGCACAUUACAGCCCUAGACAGUCAUACCAGAACCAGACCCUGGGCUCUUUCCAGCCCCUACAGGGUGUGGGGUCAUAAAUAACCCUUCCUCUCUGUAGGGUAGAUGUCCAAAAAGGCUGACAACAGGGGCUUGAGCAAAAACCUGGAAGACAGGGAGAAGCCUGCGUGGGAGACAGGACCUGACAUCAGAUACCCAACCCCAGACCACCCUGUUUGAAGAUGGAGGUCUCACCCAGUGCUCACUAGUGACCUGGGACAACAAAGGAUUGCCCUUCCCCCAGCUCAAUGUGCUGGUUCUGGAAUCUGUCAGGAGAAGAGGGAGGUAUUACUUCCAGAUCAAGGAACAAAGAUACAGGAAAGAAGCCAUGCUUUGGGGACAGGUGCCAGGCCUGUGGGUAAGAAGGCAUUAUUUGA
Molecule: long non-coding RNA, 5008 nt
Organism: Manis pentadactyla (Chinese pangolin)
Lineage: Eukaryota; Metazoa; Chordata; Mammalia; Pholidota; Manidae
Exons: 5
Source: RefSeq, a predicted model, not a curated record